Molecule: transfer RNA, 70 nt
Filed under: Marmota monax (woodchuck)
Lineage: Eukaryota; Metazoa; Chordata; Mammalia; Rodentia; Sciuridae
Description: tRNA.Thr
Source: RNAcentral
GGGGUUGUGGCUCAGUGGUAGAGUGAUCACCUAGUGUGUGCAAGCCCUAGGUUCAAUCCUUAGCACCACA